GGGUGUCCGCACUGUUGUGCUUUGGCAGGUCAUAGCGCUGGUCGGGCCGCCAGCG
Molecule: non-coding RNA, 55 nt
Filed under: unclassified sequences
Description: Li+-I sequence
Rfam family: nhaA-I RNA
About the family: Acidobacteria, Alphaproteobacteria, Betaproteobacteria and Gammaproteobacteria, Verrucomicrobia, cand. division NC10. Downstream gene
Source: Rfam by way of RNAcentral